This 432-nucleotide long non-coding RNA is filed under the name Mytilus galloprovincialis (Mediterranean mussel). The record is from RNAcentral. Lineage: Eukaryota; Metazoa; Mollusca; Bivalvia; Mytilida; Mytilidae.
UUUAAAUCAGUUCAUGCUUAAGAUAUAUUGGAUAUAUUCCCCAUAAAUUUCUUUACAAAAAAUAUUCCUACACAAGUGUACAUACUUUCAACCACGCUCUAAAUGCCCGCGAUUUCAAGGGUGUGUACCAGUUAUUUAUAAACUGAGGAUUACUUAAAUAUUGUUCUCACGUUAAUUUUAAUGAUUUGUAUAAAGCAAAAUUGACAAUAUCCUAUUUUGAAUGUACCAAAAUGAAGAUCAUAUUAGUUUAAUGAUAAGUGCUGUUGACUUUUAUAAGUGCUCUUAAAUCCCCAAUGAUGACAAAAUUUUCAAAGCUGUGUUGUCUUUAAAUGAGGUCAGUUUUCAGAUAUGUUUAAGGUUUUGUUAAUGUUUUAAAGGCUUUGGUCAUUCAACGUACAUGUAUGUUUUAAUAGUAGCUAACCAAGAUUUUAC